AUCUCCCUCAAUUCUGCCAAAGAUGCCUCAAUCGCAGCAAGUCGCGCCUCUUGGUUAUCUGCCAUGGUCGAACUUCGCUCUGAUACCAAUCUGAUACAGGACUAUUUAGACUCCGUCAGGAGUUGUAACCAAUAUCGUUUGGUUAAGACGAAAUAAGAGAAAAGAUAGGCUAAAAGACGAAAAAUCUUAUUGAAAUUUCUUAAAAAUUGGAAAGUGAGUUCCUAAUAGCCAAGGGAGACUAUUUAUAAUAGAAAUAAAAUCCUAAUAUGCAAAAAUAAUCCUAAUCCUAAUAGGAG
Molecule: long non-coding RNA, 296 nt
Filed under: Manihot esculenta (cassava)
Lineage: Eukaryota; Viridiplantae; Streptophyta; Magnoliopsida; Malpighiales; Euphorbiaceae
Description: long non-coding RNA (MESC_LNC003606)
Source: RNAcentral